Molecule: long non-coding RNA, 971 nt
Organism: Papaver somniferum (opium poppy)
Lineage: Eukaryota; Viridiplantae; Streptophyta; Magnoliopsida; Ranunculales; Papaveraceae
Exons: 4
Source: RefSeq, a predicted model, not a curated record
UUUUCAGUUUUUUUUUUCCUUCUCCUCUCAGUUCUCGCCUCUCCACUCUCUGUUACAGUGUUAAUCAAUCUUCUUCCCUGUUACAAUCACUCAAUCUGUCAAUCAGAUUUCAGAUAUUCAAACUCCAAUUGUGUUUGUUGAAAUGAAGUUUAAUUCUGUUAAUAAGUACAUGGUUUCUCAGAAUAUUAUGAGGAGUUCCCGCCGAUAUUUGGUAAACAAGAACCUGAUCGUCAGCAGUUUCCUUAGGAAAGGGUAGGAACAAUUGGUUUUACAGUUACAAAUCCAAAGAUCUACUGUCAAUGAACGAUCUCUGUGGAUCAUGCUAGGUGUGUCGAGAUUGUAAGUGAACGAACUUUGAAUUCUCAAUUCAACAAAGGAACCUCUUAGGCUCCUUUUUAUGUCUGUAACAUGCUCCAUUGCAAGAAGAUUUAACAAUCCAUCGGGAUGUUUCGGGGAACACAAAUGCAUUUCUCAUGCAUACAUGGAGAUAAAGCUUGUAUUAUAGAUUCUGUUGUAUAACUGUUUUUCCUUUAGCGAGACUUGACUAUUUUUAAGCUUGUGAUUUCAGAUCAAGAAAAAAAUACUAGUGAAGGGAUUCAUCUUGGCCUGGAGAAAGAGUCCCAAGUAAGCAAAGUUGGUGGUGAAGUUGCGACUCCUGCUGCCGAAAAGCUACAACAAAACUCCUACUCAGAUAUGGAAAUUGAAGAAUGAAGACAAGAGAGUCAGAGACAAGAGAAGAGAGUGACAGAUUAGUAGAUUACAGAUAAGAGUGACAGAUAUUAGAUACUUAUCAUACUUAGUGUUUCUAAGUUUCUUACUUUCUUAAGCAUUUGCUUUUUUGUUUUUCUCCAUGUGUGUGAGAGAGUAAGAGACAUAACUACUUAAGAGUAUGUUUUUAAGAUUGUUUAUGUGUUUGAAGACAAUUUGGAUGGUAUGUUUGAGAAAUAUGACUUAAAUUUCACUUCUGAAUA